This 121-nucleotide ribosomal RNA is filed under the name Oidiodendron tenuissimum. RNAcentral's name for it is "partial large subunit ribosomal RNA". It matches the Rfam family "Eukaryotic large subunit ribosomal RNA", at positions 159 to 277 of the family's 3401-position model. Lineage: Eukaryota; Fungi; Ascomycota; Leotiomycetes; Myxotrichaceae. The record is from RNAcentral.
AUGCUUCGGGUGUGGCCCCGGUCUAAGUUCCUUGGAACAGGACGUCACAGAGGGUGAGAAUCCCGUACGUGCCCGGUGGCCGCGCCCGUGUGAAGCUCUUUCGACGAGUCGAGUUGUUUGG